GACGACGCUGGCGGCUGCUUAACACAUGCAAGUCGAACGGUGACGAGGAGCUUGCUCCUCCGAUCAGUGGCGAACGGGUGAGUAACACGUGAGCAACCUGCCCCUCACUCUGGGAUAACAGUUGGAAACAGCUGCUAAUACCGGAUACGACACAGACAGGCAUCUGUACUGUGUGGAAAGUUUUCGGUGAGGGAUGGGCUCGCGGCCUAUCAGUUUGUUGGUGGGGUAAUGGCCUACCAAGACGACGACGGGUAGCCGGCCUGAGAGGGCGACCGGCCACACUGGGACUGAGACACGGCCCAGACUCCUACGGGAGGCAGCAGUGGGGAAUAUUGCACAAUGGGCGAGAGCCUGAUGCAGCGACGCCGCGUGAGGGAUGACGGCCUUCGGGUUGUAAACCUCUUUCAGCAGGGAAGAAGCGAAAGUGACGGUACCUGCAGAAGAAGCACCGGCUAACUACGUG
This 463-nucleotide ribosomal RNA is filed under the name uncultured bacterium. RNAcentral's name for it is "bacterial SSU rRNA". It matches the Rfam family "Bacterial small subunit ribosomal RNA", at positions 33 to 507 of the family's 1533-position model. The record is from RNAcentral.